Molecule: unclassified non-coding RNA, 1225 nt
Filed under: uncultured Neocallimastigales
Lineage: Eukaryota; Fungi; Neocallimastigomycota; Neocallimastigomycetes; Neocallimastigales
Description: partial contains internal transcribed spacer 1, 5.8S ribosomal RNA, internal transcribed spacer 2, and large subunit ribosomal RNA
Rfam family: Eukaryotic large subunit ribosomal RNA (bases 594-1225)
Source: RNAcentral
AUCAUUAAAAAAUUGGGUGACUGUAAUUUAGGUUAACCCAUUAUAAUAUCCUACCCUUUGUGAAUUUGUUUGUUAUGUAAAAUUUUUUGUCUAUCCCUAAAGAAAGGUUGGAUAAGUGUAAUAGCUUAAAAAACUUUUUUUUAGGGAAUGGCUUAAAGACUUUUAUUUAAAAUUAAACUUUUUGUAUUCAUUUGUCUAAAAAUUAUUUUUUAUAAUAUAAAAACAACUUUUGACAAUGGAUCUCUUGGUUCUCGCAACGAUGAAAGAACGCAGCAAAAUGCGAUAAGUAGUGUGAAUUGCAGAAUACGUGAAUCAUCGAAUCUUCGAACGCAUAUUGCACUUUUUUAGUUUACUAAAAAAGUACGUCUGUUUGAGUAUCAGUAAAAUAUUCUCAUAAAAAACAUCGUUUUUAUGGUUAUGAGUGUUUUACAACGAUACAAGUUGUUUCACUUUAAAUUUUUUUUAAAAAUUUGAAUUUUUCUAAUUUUAAAAUAAAAUUGGAUAAAUUUUCCCGUAAAAAGGAAUAACCUAAACAAUUUUAAAUUUUUGAUUAGAAUUCUUCACAUUCUAAAGGAAAAUUUAACUAAAUAACUUGAUCUCAAAUCAGAUAAGAGUACCCGCUGAACUUAAGCAUAUCAAUAAGCGGAGGAAAAGAAACUAACAAGGAUUCCUUAGUAACGGCGAGUGAAGCGGGAAGAGCUCAAAUUUGAAAUCUUCAAGGUUUUACCUUGACGAAUUGUAGUUUAAAGAAGUGUUUUCUGUUGAAGUUUUGGUAAAAGUUCUUUGGGAAUAGGACAUCAUAGAGGGUGAGAAUCCCGUAUUUGACCAUUAUUUUCAGCUGUGUGAUACACUUUCAAAGAGUCGGAUUGUUUGGAAUGCCAGUCCAAAAUGGGUGGUAAAUUUCAUCUAAAGCUAAAUAUUGGCGAGAGACCGAUAGCGAACAAGUACCGUGAGGGAAAGAUGAAUAAGAACUUUGAAAAGAGAGCUUAAAACAGUACGUGAAAUUGUCAAAAGGGAAGCGUUUGACACCAGUGUUGUUUUCCCGAAAAUCAAUUAAAAAAAGUUGGAUUUUGUGUAUGUAUAUGACCUUAACAGCUUUGCUUCACUCUUUUCCUGCAUUUUUUUAAUGCACUUUUCGUUUUUAACAAAGUCAACAUCAGUUUCUUUUGUUGUAAAAGGGUCAUUGGACGGUGGCUUUCUCUUCGGAGAAAGUGUUUAUAGCCUU